UUGCUCCUACGGGAGGCAGCAGUGAGGAAUAUUGGUCAAUGGACGGAAGUCUGAACCAGCCAUGCCGCGUGCAGGAAGACGGCUCUAUGAGUUGUAAACUGCUUUUGUACAAGGGUAAACCUGAAUACGUGUAUUCAGCUGAAAGUACUGUACGAAUAAGGAUCGGCUAACUCCGUGCCAGCAGCCGCGGUAAUACGGAGGAUGCGAGCGUUAUCCGGAUUUAUUGGGUUUAAAGGGUGCGUAGGCGGAUCGUUAAGUCAGUGGUCAAAUUGAGGGGCUCAACCCCUUCCCGCCAUUGAAACUGG
RNAcentral lists this ribosomal RNA (305 nucleotides) under uncultured bacterium. RNAcentral describes it as "bacterial SSU rRNA". It matches the Rfam family "Bacterial small subunit ribosomal RNA", at positions 333 to 636 of the family's 1533-position model. The record is from RNAcentral.